RNAcentral lists this transfer RNA (30 nucleotides) under Borassus flabellifer. RNAcentral's name for it is "partial transfer RNA-Phe". The record is from RNAcentral. Lineage: Eukaryota; Viridiplantae; Streptophyta; Magnoliopsida; Arecales; Arecaceae.
GUCGGGAUAGCUCAGUUGGUAGAGCCAGAG